RNAcentral lists this long non-coding RNA (14366 nucleotides) under Elaeis guineensis (African oil palm). Its description in RNAcentral is "long non-coding RNA (EGUI_LNC010058)". The record is from RNAcentral. Lineage: Eukaryota; Viridiplantae; Streptophyta; Magnoliopsida; Arecales; Arecaceae.
AACUCUUUGAAAAAUGUAGCAGGACUAGGGCUUCUUCAAGAACUCCUUUGCUGAAAUCUGAUUUCAGCAACACUAAGAAGAAAGAGAGGCCCUGGGAUGUGGAGAAGAGAGGGAGAGGAAGAGGGGGGGCAACCUAGGAGCAAAGGGAAUCUUGUGGAGCAUGGAAACUCAUAAACCCUUAGGGUUUGGCCACAUAUUUAUAGGCACAAAUACCUAAGGAGGCGCCCCUAGUUUUCUUAGAAAUAAAUCAUCCAAAAGAGUCCCUAACGGCUAGGACUCUAGGGAGAAAAUCCCAGUGUUGCCGCCCCACCUAAAUCAGCCAACAAACUUGCAUGUUUGGCUUGGGUGGCUAGGGUUUCACAAACCCUAGAUGUGGUGCCCCAUUUGCUCCCUCUUGUGGCACCUAGGGUUUCAUUUAAGAAACCCUAGGGUGUGGAUAAUGUUGACUGGUCUAAGAUCAAGUCAAAAUCAAUUAGGCUAGACUAAGGUGUCACACACCUAAUGCGUCCAAACUCAUUUGGUUGCAUGUCACGUAAGUCCAAUUUGAUUUAAGCCUUGAUCCAAAUUUAAUUGAACCCAAAUUCCUAUUUGAUUCAGUUUGAAUUAAUUUGAUCCAAGCAAAUUAAGACAUGCAACAUUUGCACAUUAGUCCUUCCUCAAACUUGCUAACCUUUAACAAUUAAGUCCUUGCUAUUUAUAAUAAUUAUAAAUUAAUCCAAUUAUCAAUCAUAUUGAUAAUUUUGGAUUCUAACCAUUUGAUCAGUUUUAAACUCCUUUUGUGUGUGACCCAAUAAGUUCUAUUCUGUUUGGUAGCGAGUCAUGUUGUGAUCUCUAUUACAACAUCAUUGAAACUCUUUUCAAUAGAUUGAAACGUUUUCAAUUUUUUCCAUCAAAGAAUCAUCUGAUCAUCUAUCUGAUUUUCUAUGGAUCUCAUAAUCCACCAAUGAUACUUAGUAGCAUAUGAUGGCAGGCUAAUAGAAUGGAAUGAAAUGAAUCUCUAGGUAUAGUUAUCGUGUGAUACAGUCCUUCUAUCAGGAUCCCGACAAGAUGGAGAUUAUGAAUGACUCGUCAAACCACAAUAUCUGUCGUAUAUAGAAUUUAUUCGACUUUAGUUCCUGACGUGAAGUAUGUGGAAACUCUUUUCCAUUAUUCAUAUUGCCUUAGCCUUGAUCUUUUGAACUCAGUCUUAUAAAUUACAUAGAAUCAUCUUCCUUCUCUAUCAAGGAUGAUAGAUUCCAUCUAGGUGCACAUCCUAUUCCUACAACGAGCCUACUAUAACCAACAUGCAUUACGAGGACCCAUAUAGUUAGGGAUCAAGUUUAUAUACAGUGAAACUACAGUAGCCUCAUUGCGAACAGUCAAGGUACUUAGGUCUAAGAACUAGUCACACUACUGUAGCAUCGAGUAAGUCAUUGACGAGUGGAUAGCCAUCCAUCUGACUUCUAGUAUCAGUUACACUCGGUACCUUUGUUCUCUAACAAAUAUUUGCACUCUCGCUCCAGUGUCUCCACACUGUAGACUCGAGAUUCGUCUACCCUAAAGAAAAUGACUUAUGCACCGAUUGAUAAUCACCGUCCUCGUAAUUAUCCAUUGAUCGGGAGCAUUUAAGAAUUAAUCAUUAAUGACAUAUGUCUCAAAUUCUAACUUUUAGAAUAUGUGUCAUCUUCUUAUUAAUCCCUAGGACUAUUCAUAGACACAAAAACAUGAAUGAUAAAAUAAUCUAAAUUUUAUUUCAUUAAUAACUCAAAAUAUAUAAAUUAUAUCCUUAGAAAAUUUACAUAUGUUAGCCUAAUUGGCUUCUAGGGCAUACAUCUAACAAGUACAUGCCACAAUAUUAAGAUUUUCGAGCAUUAUCAGAUUCUUAAAUAUGACUGAUACAACUGUACAAAGCAUUCCUCAAAUCCCAAAAAAAGAAAGGUCACGGUUAAGAAUAACUUGUUCAAAGUUUGUACCUAUGGCUAUGAUAGUGUCAAUAAACAUGAUUUUCCUUUAAAAGGGAACAAGUGGUCCCUGCUGUUCCUUGAAUUUGAGGUAAUUAUUGCUAGGUCUACAGAUCAGACAAGUCUGGACUCGGGCAAAAAUGGCCCUAACUCGCCCAAUUGUAUCAUGUUCAGAAUUUUAGACCUUAUCCAACACGUGUUUCGGCUUUCUGACUACAGUAUCGUUCUGUUUCUUGUCAGAAUGGUGCUGGACUGAUGGUACCUUCCUGUUUCGAUGGUUUUUAAAUCAUGGAAAACAUGGUCCUGACUUGUUCUACUUAUGGUUGUAGAUGUGGCUGCUUUUUAAGAUCUUCAAGCUUACAAUAAGUUUUAGAAAUAGCAAUAGACUCCACUGAUGACCGUCCAAAUUACUUAAAAUGCCAUAUGAUAGUAUUUUUAAGCGUGUGAAACUUACAAAGUAUGCUCUUGUUAGAUCCAAAACCUCAGAGAGAUGGAAAAUGGAUUAUAUCAAGGGACAAAUAAGCCUCGUGCGCUGACUUCUAUGUGCCCACCAUUCUAAACAUGUUAGGUCCACAAGAAUUUAGUACAUGCUUGGAUCAUGAUGCAACCUGUUUCAUGCACUAACCUCCUACAUUAUGAUAACAAGGACAAUUGACCGUUGUGUGGUGUGUUUGAGAAAGUUCAAUUUAUCUGCUUUUCAAAUAAUUAUGUACCUACACACAUGCACGAACAGACGCUUGAUUCACUGCAGUGUUAAAGUAGUAUGUCAAAUCACAUGCACAAACACAAUGCAAGUACCCAUGCACGAAUGCUUGAUUCGCUGCAGUAUUCAAAAUAAUAUAUGUAGUUAUAUACAUAGAAUAUCAAAUUGGAAAGAUCUGUUAUAUUUAUAUGGUGUCUUCUUGCUUAGGUAUGCUUGCUGGCUAUGGUUUAUGCUUUUGGAGGCUUGAGCAUUCUUGUCUCUGUUUUGCCAUCACUUAGGGUAUUCAUUGAUUGUUGUGUUAUAAUCCUAAAAUAAAUCAAGUCUCUUAAAAAUUGUUCUAAGCCUUGAAUUAGAUUGUCAGUAAAAAUUCUCUGCUUGCAUAUUUUUGUGAAGUAUGUAAAAUUGUAAAUAGUGAACUUCAUUGUUCUAUAUGUUUUUUCACUUAGAAUUAUUUCAUUUUGUUUCAGGGGCACAUACCGUCGCUAAACUUAUUGGAUGCAAUGUUGGUGAUCUAAAGUUAGCUUUGUCAACUCGUAAAAUGAAAGUUGGCCAUGAUAAUAUUGUCCAAAAACUUACUCUUUCACAGGUUUGUCAGACUUCUUUACUAGAAGGAUUGAUAAUUUAUUUUAAUCUCUGAUUUCUUAAUAUUUUCAUUCUGAUAUUUUGUCACUAGGCAAUUGAUACGAGAGAUGCAUUGGCCAAAUCACUAUAUGCUAGUCUUUUUGAGUGGCUGGUGGAACAGAUCAACCAAUCACUUGCUGUUGGCAAGCGCCGCACAGGCAGAUCUAUCAGUAUUCUUGAUAUUUAUGGCUUUGAAUCUUUUGAUGUAAUUUUCUUCUGACAAUUAGUUGUCCAUUUCGGUUCUGUAGAAUUUAUUCUCAUGAGAAAUGUCUUGUUUUGCAGAAGAAUAGCUUUGAACAGUUUUGUAUUAAUUAUGCAAAUGAAAGGCUGCAACAGCAUUUUAAUCGCCACUUGUUUAAGCUGGAACAGGAAGUAAGUUUCUGCAGUCCUCAAGUGGUUGAAACACUAGGAGGGCACAAAUAUAAAAGAACAAACUUAUGAAAAACUUACCUGUUUUAAAAUGCUGAAUGUGGUGAUGGAGUACAGAUAUAAAACACAGGAAUCAUGAAAAGUUACCAGUUUUAGGAAUGUUGAACCGAGUGAUAUAUGAUCGUAACUCAUCUCUGCUAUGUUUUAUGGUGCUUUUUUGCAGUUGGUGGUUAGUUUUUACAUUCUUUUCUUCCCUUCAGAACACAAAUAUAUUUGAAGAUUUUAAUAUUGUGUUUAUAUAGAUAGUAAAAUCUUUUGCUAUCUCAUUCUAAGUAGCUCUUGUGACAUGUCUUCAUUAUCACAUGGACCCACCUUAGACCUGUAUGUUACCUUUUCCUGUUUAUUUCUACUCCAUUGAAGAUUCUCAAUGAGCUUGAUCAACUUUAUGUUGCAGAAAUAUAGGACCAUUAAAGAACUCAGUCAUAUGCACAAGGCCUUGAUACUGAAAGCUGGUUGAUAUGCUUGAUAUCUAAUAGGAUUAAAUCAUGAGUGUCUUUUGCAAGAAUCCUAUCAUGUCAAUCUGAAAAUGUUGUGAUGUGCAUGUAGUCAUGCUGAAUCAAUACGUUCUGAUGCAACACCUGAUGAACAGGAAUCUUGAUAUGAUUGACUAUAAUCAUCGCACAUUGCCCUGGUUGUUGGGGGUUGGAUUUUUGGAUCCUCAUUUGGUAAGCAUUCUUGUUUGGGGCAAGAAUCCAUGGAUUCGAAAAACCCUGGAUGUCGAUACUGUGUGUGGUAUGUACAGGCCUUUUUGAUACAUACCUGUAUGUGUUGGUGGCACCAUAUCAACUUGUAUCUAUAUGCGCCAAUAGUUUUUCAUUUCUUUGAAACUAGAAUAAGCCCGAGUAAAACCUAAAAAGUCACAAGUCAGAACCUCUAGUGAGACUUAUAUCAGUAAAAAAGCCAAAGCUAAAAGUUUAUGGGUGUAUGUAUGCAUGUAGAGUAGAGAGAGAGAGAGAGAGAGAGAGAGAGAUCAUACACAUGAGAUGCAUGUGAAAAAUUAUGAGAUAUCAGGAUAAAGAAAUUUAUCAAAACUAUGUAAUGUAUUACCAAAAUUAUGAAGUUAAAAUAGCUAAUAUAAUUAAAAGAAAUCAUGUAUCUCACCAAACUUCAAUCUAUGACAUACUUGCCUCUCUUUAGACCUAGUUAAUAAUGCACAUUUUCCCUGCCCUUGGAUCUUGAUCGUAGCCAUCAUAUGUUGCUCUCGACACCUCCAAACUAUGAAUAACAUGAUCCUACUACUCUCUAUUUUUGGUUCUUAGCUUAGAUGCUAUUUUUAACUCUUCUAUCAACUAAAAUUCUUUUAAAACUGCCACUUAAACACAUUUCGAUCAAGAAAUAAUCAUCAGCCACCAAGAAAAGAAAAUGGAGUUCCAUUGGGUCAAAUUAUAGUAGACGUUCAAGAUUUUGACAGGGAAGUAUAACAAGCUAAAUAUGUGAUCUAUGUAUAGCAUCAUUUAAUAGGUCAAUCAGACUAUUAAUUUAUCAGCAAUGUUAAUAUGAAAAACUGCUUUUUGUAUAUAUUAAGGAUGGAAUGACAAAUCUAUUAGCCCUAAAAUAUAGUGUCAAUGGUGGCCAGUAUGAUACAUUUAUAUACACUAUCAUACAUAUACAAUACAAUACAAAAGAAUACAAUAUAGUAUUGUAUAAUAUGAUAUAAAUAAUGAUGUUAUUUUAUAUUUUUAUUAUUCUAUUAUUAUAUGUUAUCAUUUUAUAUAUCUAUGAUACUCUAAGUGUUAACUUGUCAGCAAUAUUAACAUGUAAAAUGUUUCUUUUGAAAUGAGUUUGAUCUAUUCAUGACACUACAUAGUUAUUUUGUUAUACUAUGCUUUGCCAAUCAUGUCUAUCUACUUCUACUAAGUAGGGAGAACGGAGAAGAUCCUAACUUAUUAAGUUGAUGAAUAUGUUAAAUAUAUUCAUUUGAAGUUUUAAGAAUUUUGACAUGGGACAAACCUAAACAAUGAAUCUCCACAACGAAUGUUGAGAUGGGGAGUUGAAAUACUGGUGUGUUUUUUAUACAAAUGAAACCCAACUUGGUCUAACAGGAUUAAGUUGUUAGGUUUUGAGCCCAGUCAUGUAACUUCCAAAGGAUUUGGUAUACAUCAUGCUCCUAAACCUCCUCCUGGAUCCUGGCCCAAAUGCCAUGCGUCUUCGGUCUUUCUAUAGCUUAUGAUGGAUAUGGCCAGAUUUAACAGCAAUCAUUAAUAGAAGUUAUAGUAGCUGAAAGAUUUUCAGUCAAGGGGCAGCUGAAACAUUAAAUGAAUGUAUUUAUCUUCUUCCCUCUUUCCAUUUAAUAUGACAAAUUCCAAUAGAGGUUAUGUCCCUUUGUUUUUGUUUGCAUCUGCUGUUCAAAUGUAUUUAGUAUCAGAAUGCCAAAGAAGAGAGGUAGGCUAGGUCCAUCCUUACCUGAUGAUUUUAAUUAUAUUUAUAUUAUAUAUAUUUGAGAUUUGGUGUUGGGAGGACUCGAAGGAACUAAACCUGGGUUUUUCCUGAGAUUAGACAUCAGAUCAAAUACUUGAAAUAUAAUACCACUCACGAGAAACCCCUACCACUUAUAAGAAAGGGAAAUUGACCAUUAAGCUACGGCUUGGUUUGCAAUUAGAUAGAAUUUGAAGGGCAUCUUUAAGUUUUUGAAGUUUUGAAUUAAACCUAUCCAAAAUCCAACUUGAUCAAGGCUCAUUAGAUUUGGAGCAAGCAUGGUUUUUUAUAUAAGCUAGCUAGUUGUCUAACUCUCCAUGCAUUCGACCUAGCUUGACUAGACUUGCUUAAAUAGUUUGUUAAGUUAAUUUUAUUUGUAAUAAAAAAUGGUGUUGAGUUAUAUCAUUGCUUGGACAUGAUCUUUAUCAAGUUUAUUUAGGUUAGGAUUAUAGUAAUAGUGGAUCUGGAAACAUGAAAGCUUGAUUUGACCUGUUUACAUCCUUGCUAAUGACAUGUAAGUUGUUUUGAUGAGUUAAUUCGGACAUUCUAUGAUAAUACAUGCAAUAUUAUAUUAUUAAAUUUUAAAUUUUAAUUGAUGUCUAAGGUGAGGAGCUUGAUGCAUCUUGAGAUGAGUUAACUCAUGCAAUUAAUUGUACUAAGCCUCAAUUUGGUAUUCAUACUCAAAAUAAAUACUAAGCACUUCAUUGAAAAGUAGUUAAUUUUGAAUUGACACAAAAGUUUAGCUUGUUCAAUAUAGCUCAAUGGAGCUCAAAAUUGGGUUAUAUCUUGUUAGAUAUCAUAAAUACUAGUUAUUUUUUUUUUGGUUUUUCAUUUUUCAGCUUAUGAUCGUUAGGACCCACUUAAGAACACAUCUUUAAAAGUUUUUAAUGACACAUUUGAGGGUAAUUUGGUAAAUUUAGUAGCAUACAACAAAUAGGGUGAGGAAGAACCAGCAUGCAUUCUUGCUUCUAGAGUAACAAUUGAUUGUUAGUUCUGAUACAUACAGUCAAUACCAAUACUUUAUCAUUCUACCGAAGAAACAAUACAAGAUUCGGUAUUGAUAUUUAGAAGUUAGAACCUUGCAACCAAUGAGACCAUCGACUCAGAAUCAGACCUCGUGUCGGCUGGCUGGUGGUGUGAAUCAGUAUGACCCUAUAUCGGACUGUACCGGACCCGAAUUGAUGCAGAAAUGGGGGAUGAAUCAGGUAAGAAAAGAGAGAGAAAGAGAGGGGGGAAGGAGGGAGAGGGAGGGAAGGAAAGAGAGGCUGACGGAGACAUUGGCAAUGGCCAUUGGAGGGCCACGGAGGCUAUUGGAGGGUUGUCGAGGCCUCUCAGGCUCUGCAGUCCUUCGCUAAAGAAAAUGAGAGAGAGAGAGAUAGACAGAGAGAAGGGUGGGGAGAGGAGAGAGGAGAAGGCGGUUAGGAGGCCGUUGGAGGUCCACCGAGUAGUUGCCAUGGCCAUCGGACGGUCAAGGAGAGAGGAGAAGGCAGUGGGGAGGCCGUCAAAGGUCCAUCGGGUAGUUGGCAUGGCCAUCAGACGGCCCAAAACAAUCCCAUGGCCGUCAUGGGUUUGUCAAGUUUUUUAAAAAAUCCGAUAUAUAAUGAAGCCGAUAUGGGUUUUGGACCAUCUGGUUUCACUGUAUAUUGGGUCUAGAGGUAUUUUGGGCUGCAUAGGUAUUUUGGGCCGUUUGGCAGUCCUCUGAUCGCCUCCCCACUACCUUCCCCUUCCUCUUUCUCUUUAUCUCUCUCUCUCUUCUCACAUCUCAAGAAGGAUCAUAGAGACCUAAAGGCUUGGCGCCUUGGUGGGCCACCACUACCCAUGGCUAGGCUUUCCCUUUCCUUUUCUCUUCUCUUCUCUCUCUCUUCUUCUCUUUCCUUCUCCCUUGCAUUGUUUUUGUCGGCGUUCUGAAUUGAAUGCCCGAACUGCACCAGUUAUGGUUUGGCAGUUUGGGGUGGUUCGACAAACGCUGCUUGCAACAAUUCUAAUAUGAUAUGAAUAUCAAUGUGCCAUUUAGCAUCACUUCAAUUUUUUUUUUUUAAAUUUUUAGAAACCAAAAUAUAAAUUUUAUUUUGUUUAAAAAAAUUAAAAUAUAAAUAUGUUAGGUAUUGACAAUUAUUUUUAAAAAUAUAAACAUAACAGUGAUGGUGGAGAUGGUGAUAGUAGCACUGGGGGCAAUGUAGUUGUAGUAGAGGCAAUAGACACAACAUUGGUGUUGGUGGCAGGAGAGACAAUGGCAUGGUGGAGGUGGUGACAAUGGUUACAUUGGUAUAGCGUAGGUGGCGAUGAUAGUGGUGGUCACAAGGGCACCAAUGUGGAGGUGAUGAUCAUAGUAAUGGUGGUAGUGGCACCAAGGGAGCUGGCAAUGUGGAGGUGAUGAUAAUGGCGGCAAUGGCAUGGCAAAGGAGGCAAUGAUGAAGGUGAUGACCCUUGUGGAAGUGAUGGUGGUAGAGGCGGCAUCGGUGGUAGAGGUGAUGGCCUCGUUGGCAAUGAAAUUGUGGUGGUAGAGGUGGUGAAGGUGUUGGUGGUGGUAAAAAAAACAUAAGUUUCUUAUUAUUGAAAUUGUUGAAAGGAUUUCUUACUUUCAGUCUUUCUAGAAGUAAUAAGAAUGACUUUUAAAAAACAGAACAUAAAAACAAUAGCAUAAGCAUGUUUUCUGUCUCUAUUUGUGUAAUGUUCGUUUUAAAAUGUAAAAACAAGAAAUAAAAGCAAUGCCAAACUACCCCUAUGUGCUAAAUCUAGAUGCUCAAUGAAACAGAAAGCAAAUAUUGUUCAACUGCAACUGAAAAAUUAAUCACUUGAGCUUGACAUGAUCAUAUUUUCAUGUUCUUCUAGUUCAUAUCAUGAUUUAGAAGCUUGACUUGGUCAUAGGAGUCUUCUAAGCUGGAUAAUGAGAAUAAGUGAACUGCAGCUUGACUUGGUCACAGGACUCUUCUAAGCUUGAUAACGAGAAUAUGCAACUGCAAAAGUCUUCUGAGAGUCUUCAAAGAUUUUAUGCUCCAACCCUUGUCUACUUGUCUUUCAUUCUGUACUAUUAAGUCCACUCUAUUUUUGUAUGAGUGGUGUGGUGGUCAAUCUGAGGCAUAUAAUACACCUGGUUAUAGGCCUUAAGUGUAUAAAGAGGGGCAAUCCUUGGGGAACUCCUGUAAUGACUAGGAGAGGGAUAGGGGAGCAUACAUCAACUUAGGUCUCCUUCUUGCAAGCACCACCAACUAAGGUGCUUAACAUACCUCCUACUAUGAUAUUAUAGCUAGACUCCUAUGGGAAGAGUUCAUGUACAUAAGUUUAUGCUAUAACUUUGUUCAUAUGUUAUUCCAUACCAGGGAUCAUUCUUUAGGGUGAAUCAAACAAUGUGUAUCAUGGCCAUUAGCAUGUGGAAAAUGAUUAGAUGACUAAGGAUGGGUCCUUCAAAUAAAACCAUGAGAAAAUUUGUCAAACCUUUCAAAAGCAUCAGCUCCAAAUCAUUCCUGUUAAAAUCACCAUACCAAAUUAGAUAUAUGCCAAUUAGUUUCCAUUUAUGGGCAAUCCACCAAGAUCUGAAAUCUGAUCUAGCCAUGAAUUCUUCAUCUUUCUAUGGUACACUUGAUUAUUUUAGUUUAUGCAGGAGUUGUUUGGAUGAUCUGUUUUUAGUCGUGUCCUUUGUCCAAGGACCACUUCUAAUAUUUGAAUGUAGAUUCAAUAGUUUGAAUCAAUAGUUUUGUUUCAUGGAUGUUUGAUAUUCUUCUCCAUUAUAAUUCUAGGUACUAUGAACCUUGUUGCUGCUUUUUGUCUUGAGCAAGCCAAAGUGAAAAAUUAAAUUUUGUAGUUUUUUAAUUUUCAGAUUUGCUUUAAACACCACAUGCCAUAUUAUGGCCCCUAGCUGAUCUAAAUUGCAUGCUCUCAUUGUGUAGUCUUGUUAGUGCACAUUUUAGUGGUAAAUUUGUAAUUGGUUGUUCAUGUCCUGUUUAUUAAGAAGCUAUAGUUGUUUAUCACUUUAUUGGGUCCAAAGCCAUAUGAAUUGGUUAAAUUGUAAUCUUUUAUUUUACAUUCUCCAGUUUCCUUGUUGCUCACUUUUAUUUUAAAAUAUCCAUCAUGUUUCUCUCUUACCGGUUUGAGAAUUUAAUGGAUGCGGAUGUAAAUUGAUGUUUGUAUUAUAAAAUUUUACAAUUCCACAUAAUUGUACCCAUCAUUUUCUUCAAUUUUUCUUUAUAUCUAAAACUCUUGAUACUCAGUUUUGAUUUCUUAUAUCAGGAAUAUAUCCAAGAUGGCAUUGACUGGGCAAAAGUUGACUUUGAAGACAAUCAGGAUUGUCUAAAUCUUUUUGAGAAAGUAAGUUUUUUCUAUUGUUUACUAUAUUGCAUUUAUGAUCAAUUUUCUAUACUUUGUAUUUCAAAUGCCAGUUGUUAAAAUAAUGAUAUUUAAAGUGGAUGAUUUAUCUUCCACCUCGAAAUCUAUUCUAGUUCUUGUAUUGGCAUUGAGAAAUCAUAUAUCAGUCAUUGCUUGGUAUUACCAUAUAUUUGUCUUGUUGUGUCUGAUUGAUCUUUUAUUAACAGUGAUGGUUGUGCUUGACUUUGAUACAUACCAAGUUUUGUAUGACAAUAUAUGUUGACUUCAUUUCCGAGUAAUUUCAGUAACUUGUACACAUACACAAUCAUAUCAAAUGAGCCCAGUGUCAUGUAUUUGGAGUCAUCUUUCUUCAUUUGUGUUAUUCGGAUCAUUCCAAUUCAAAAGAUGGCAUACUGUUACGGAUAGCUUUAUCAAAUCAUAUUUUCAUAAUCAUGACACAGUCUACAGGUUUUAUGGAAGUAUCUGAGGGCAUGACUCACUCCAUAGAUCCAGAUCAUCCAGUAGGCAACCUUGUUCUCUUUAUCUGAUACUGGUUCUUGUUGAAUAUUCAGAAGAGACCUGGUGCACAUAUGGCACGUGCAUAUGCAUUUCAUUGAUGUAUGUGUACAUCUAGGUUUGCUAAGCAGUGUUGUGUGGUUGGGGGGGGGGGUUGUGGUGUUUGAAGCACGCCAAUGCAAUCAGAGGUCCUGAAGGGGUUAUGGAUCAUCUUUGUUCCACUUGAACUUGAUGGCUACUUGAUCAUUGAUGGCUUUAUGGCAUUGGAUGUGCAUCAAGACAAGGUGUUAUCAUUGUGGAUAGGUUGCACAUGGUACAUGCAUUAAUGUACAUAAAAAAAUCUAAUAUAGGCAUCUAUCACGAUGCUCAUGUAUGACCAAAAAUAGCUCCACCUUGGAGAAUGAAGAAGUGUGUCGUCCAGGUCAUGUGUGUAUGGUCAAUGUUGUGUUGCCUCCAUUAACUAUUGGAGCGUGCCAUACAACAAAGAUAUUUUACUCGAACCUAAACUGUGGUUCUGCUUUUACAAUUCUGCUAUUAUGAUAGUAUGCAAGUAAAAAAUUCUAUUAUAUAAUUAUUUUAGAGUAUUGAUCAUGAUAUAUUAUUAAUAUAUAUUUGCUGUCUGUCUUCUCUCUACUGCAGAAGCCGUUAGGAUUACUGUCUCUUCUGGAUGAGGAGUCUACUUUUCCAAAUGGCACUGACCUAACUUUUGCAAACAAGCUUAAGCAGCAUCUUAAUUCUAAUCCUUGCUUUAGGGGGGAAAGAGGCAAAGCUUUCACUGUUCAUCAUUAUGCAGGGGAGGUUGCUAGUGAUAUCCUUCCUAAAUCUGCAAAAUAAUUUUUUUUUGAAAUUUUAAUUCAAAGUUAUUGAUACUUAACUCCUGUAAUCAGGUUGUCUAUGACACAUCGGGGUUUUUGGAGAAGAAUAGGGAUUUAUUGCACAUGGAUUCUAUUCAACUUCUUGCUUCUUGUAAAAGCCAACUUCCUCCAAUAUUUGCAUCCAAAAUGCUUGCUCAAUCCGCAGAUGUUGCCAGCAACCCAUAUAGACCCAGUGCUGCAGAUUCUCAAAGGCUAAGUGUUGCAACAAAGUUUAAGGUAAGGAGUUUACUUUUGUAUAUAGACUCUGUAGUAGAAAUUAUACAGGAUUUGCUGUCUUUUCUAGUUUGCCUUUUUCUUUGAAUAAAAAAAUAAAGGCUAGCUGCUGGAGAGGUGUUUGACAAACUGGAGGAGUCAUAACUCAUAAGUGUUGCAUUCUCUGCUUGUUUAUUCUUGAAUAAUGCCAAAAAUGAGUUGCAGUGUGAUUGAAUGUUUUUUUUGAGUUUGAUAUAUUACUUUUCUUUUUUGCUUAGUAGAUUAAAUACUAAAUUGGAAUUAUGAAGGAAAAUUUUAGAGGAUAAGGGCUUAAAAAUUAGUAGAACGAAGAUAGAAUAUAUGGAAUACAAAUUUAAUGAGAAGAUGUAAUAUCCAUUAAGAUUGAUGGACAAGAGGUAGCAUAGAGUGACUGAUUAGGAUCUGUUAAACAAAGUAAUUAGGAGAUAGAUGAGGAUAUAUAUAAAUAUAUGAUAUAAUAUAAUGUAAUGGAAUUAGAGCCGGUUGGAUAAGGCCUGCAAUGUUGUAUGUAUCAGUGCUGGAAAUAAAGAAAGUAUAUGAAAGCAAAUUAAGGGCUGUAGAAGUGAGAAUAUUAAGAUUGAGAAAUGAAUAUAUUAGAGGAUCUAUGGGAAUUGCGCAAAUUAAGGACAAACUGAUCAGAAAUCAAUUGAAAUGGUAUAGAUAUAUACAACAAAAGUCUAAGGAGGCUCUUAUAUUGAGAGGUACUUUUAGUUUGGUUGAAAGUUGUAGGAAAGGAAGAGGAUGGCCUAAAUUAACAUGGACGGAGGUUGGGAGGAAGGAUAUAAGGAAACUUGAUAGAACAUCAUAAGUGGCCCUUUAUAAAGAUACUUGAUGAAUGAGAUUCCAUAAAACUGAUUCAGGUAGUUGGGAAAAGGCUAGAUGAUUGUGAUUAUGAUUUCUAAUGUUUGCAUAUCAGGUUUCUAAUCCUAAGGUAAAAUUUUUAUCAUUUUAUCUCAUUGGCAAUUGCCUUUUGCAACUUUUGAAAUCUAUACUUAAUUCAAGAUCCCAACCAUGGCACUAGGGUUUUAGCAACCAUGGUCAACUGAAAUCUUGUAGAGAAAUCAUGUGCUAUUGUAUUGCUACUGCCUGAAAGAUAGCAACUGUCUUCUACUUGGAGUGCUUCAUUAGGUUUUUUAUUUUAUUUUAUUUUUAUUUUAUUUUUAUUUUUUUUUGUUGUGUGCGUGUGUGUGUGUGGAAAGAUUCUAAUGUAAUUUGCAGUUGUUGGUUCCUUUGUAUUUAUAUUUUGAUUCAGUUUUGUGAUAGACACUCUACUACUCAAGUCAAUGGUAGUCGUACAUCUUAACUUGAUGCUCAAAACAACUUUAUCUGCAUAGCUGGAAAAACAGCAAUGUUGUGACAUCUUGUCAAGUUGUUACUUUUGAUUACUUUAUUCAUUCAGUGCAAUGGGUCUAAUAAACAGGUGAAGCUUAUACUUUUUGCAGAGCAGAGGAACCAAUUGAUAGAUUACUCAACUAGGCUUGCUUCUCCCUCUUUUGAUUGAAGUAUUUAGUAAUUUAGGGUACCUUGUAUCUUCUUAUGGCCCUGUUCGGUUCAACAAUAUGUCAGGUUAAGUGGGAAAGACCCUGAUCGAAUCAAAAUCCCCUUAAGUAGAAGCACGAAUUCCUUUCAUUAUUGGGUAUUCUUUUGAUUUUUUGAUUUUUUUUUCUUUUUGUAGUUCAGUAAAGAGUAGCUUAUAUAAUUUUACAGGAGUUCCUUGAAAGGCUCAAUGUUGAUUUCAAGGAGCUAAACUUUUGGUGGUUUUGAAAUCCUAUGUUAUUUAGGUCAAUAUCCAAGAGACAUAUCAUAGGUAUCAGUUGGGUUUACAUUGUUUAUGGUCAUCAUCAUCAAGUAUUUUGAAAUUUCUGAGUCUUUAAAAAUGGAGUUCCAGAAAUUCAUAUUUUGUAAGUUCUUUCAUUUUUUGUUUAUUAUUUUUUUGCAUCUUAUGUCUUCUAGGGAUAUCAUCAUAGAAGCCAUUUCUUCCUCGGAAAGGAGGGUUCCUUUAUAUGUAAUUUUUAUCCCUUAGGCUAUAUACCGGACCAUUUAUGGCUCAUGUAAGGCCUACUUCCUUAUAACUAGUCCAAUGUAUGCAGUGAGGUGAAAAUUUACUUUAGAUCAUUAAUUGACAACUUGUAAACCCAGGUUUUGUCAUAAGAUAUACUAUCCAAAACUCUCUUACCUAUGUCAGAAUGGAGUUCGUAAACUUGCCUGCUCUUAUUCAUUUUUUUUCCUUUGUUUAGGGGCAACUAUUUCAACUGAUGCAAAGACUUGAAAACACAACACCCCAUUUUAUACGUUGCAUUAAGCCAAAUAACUUGCAGCUGCCUGCAACUUAUG